This is a long non-coding RNA of Monomorium pharaonis (pharaoh ant), 3264 nucleotides long. RefSeq lists it as uncharacterized. The transcript has 2 exons. NCBI's taxonomy places the organism in Eukaryota, Metazoa, Arthropoda, Insecta, Hymenoptera, Formicidae. The record is from RefSeq and is a predicted model, not a curated record.
ACACAGCGAACCGUUAACGAGAUACAAGUCUCGAAGUUUGUAUCGCACCGUUAAGCUUUUAUUGUAAUAUAAUUUUCAUAUCAUCUCAUUAAGUAUUACAUAUUAUACGAUCGAUGUUUAUUUCUCGAAGGAAAGGAGAAACUGGUGAUGACGGAUAAAGCGUGAAACGAGUAUCCUUGAAGAAUCCACGCAAAACGCACGAGUGGAUUUGAGAGAGACGAAGAGAGGCAAGAAAUGGUACCGGCGGGAGCGACGGCCAUAAAUCGAGGGAGACCGUCUUCUUAAAUACUGGAGUAUUUAAGAAGCCACAGAACAAAAAAGCAACCGAAAUAAAUAAAAUCUGACACUAGGAAGGCGUACCAUCACCAUCACAUUCACUAUCGUUGUGUCAUGAAUAAAGCCUCACUCGCUCCAACGAGAGAGACAAAAAUAAUGCACAGAAACCCCCAUCGGAACAGACCGAGAGGGUUGAACGAGGCUCGGAGCUUGUGUCGAAAAUCGAGCCGAAGAAACCGGUUCGCACCUCGAAACCUGAAGACUGAUCGGUACACAUGUACAGUUCUACUACGGAAGAAGAUAAUCGUGUUGUUUACGCUGGCAAUAACAAGCUCCGUCGUCGUCGUCGGGACCUCGCUCCUAUACGGCGGGGCCCUCGUUUCGAAACGGGGCCCCAUAAUUACGGGUGCUGGCUAAGAUUCUCCCGGUGCAAUCGGUACCCUGUUACGAAGUGUCCGAAAUAACCUCGUUUCUCAUUAGAUCAACGCGUGUGUGAAAAUUACAGCUAUCAGCGAGAUUAAUCGAACCAAUGUACGUAUUUUACGUGGAACCAUGUUAAUGGAAAAAUUACAUCGGUAAGGCUGAAGCACUCGCGAUUAAUAUUUCAUAAUAAUUCAUACAGAUAAUUAAUGGUAUACUUGGAAAGAAUGUUGCUCGUGCUGUCUUAGUGGAUAUUAAUUUUACUGGAGAUCAAUUUGAUUUAGAUAAAGUAAAUUUAACGUUUGAGUAAUAGAAAUAGAUUACCUACACACACAUAUUAACAUAUUAAUACAUAAUAAUAAAAUUAUAUAUAACUUUGUCAAAUGAUUUUAUUCAUUCCUAUAAUUUUUUCUUAAUUGCAUCAAGUAAAAUUGUAUCGUUUUAUAAUCGGACAUAUUCAAUCCGGCUAGGCAUUCAAUCAUGUAACAGGAGCCAGUUCGUGUGAAACUAUCAGGUAACUCAAUUGAAUCCAUUUACCUGCGGACAAAUCGAUUUUUUCAAAGUCGGUGGCUCAGAUUUCCAUUUGCUCGCCGGCGCAGUUUUGCCAGUUGGAAAACUGCAACUACACACAAAGGAAACCCGGGCUACGAGUUGCAAUUUCUCUUUCGCAAUUUCGAAAUUAUUAAUUUAACUGUUUCCCCUUUAACGCUACUGCGCCCGCGGCUAAUAUUUCCCCGGUAGAUAAAGAGCAGAGUGCGCGCAAUAGGAACUACCGAAUAAAGGAGACAAAAGCGCAAAAUGAAAAAAGAUGAAGAGACCGCGACACAGAGAUGGAGAGAAACAGUAAAAGCGGAGCACGACGAACGUACCCUUGGUUACCGUGUAAAUGAGGCGGUGAACAAAGUUCCGCGUGUAAACACCAAAUAAAGGUGGAUAACGCGGUUAGUUCCGGCCGCGCGGUUGCUCAUGAAAAUGCUGAACGACAGGCAACAGGAGUUAUAAGGGACGAAAGUGAUUCGCUUACAAAAUCCAUACGGUUGAAGGACUUUAAAUCCGACCCCCGCGUUAGUUUCAAAUGCGAUGCUGAUUUUAAUUUACAUUUCCACAGUUAAAUUCUUACUUUUUGCUCGAUGGCGUUUCUCGUGAAAUUUAACAUUUUCUGACGGCUUAAUUUUAGCAAGGGAACAACCAACUACCUCCCGCAACAUUACCUCCUUUUUUUCUAUAAUUUUAAUUAAAUUUCCGUGAAACGAUGUUAUAAAGCUUCGCGUAUUUAACAACAGCACGUAAUGACGUAUAUCUAAAUUGAGUGAGAACACCGGCCAUAACGCCAGAGUGACGAGUAUUAUUCAUAACUAACCGCAGCCGAAAAGUAUACGGCGAUGUGCGCGGCGUUAUAACUGAAUUUUCCAUUCCCCGAAGGGAUAACAGGUUCGGUACAUUCGAUUUUCACGGCGUACUGACCUGUCUCAAUGCUAUCUGGUCCCUUCACCAAUCAAAUUAGAGACGCUCGGUCGGACAGCCGAAUGAGAAUCCUUGGUCGUUUUGUUAUACAUAUUUUGUUUCGGCAGCGCGCAGUGUUGUGACAAGGGACAAUUGCAGCUUAAUUUAUCGUUACAUUAGCGCAAACGCACGCAUCACGAUCGCGAAUGAAGUAUUACACUCCAUCAUCAUUCAUCGUCGAUUACCAAAGCUUGCGGUUGUCGCCGCAAUCAAUAAACAUAUCACUGGAAACUUUUAUUCGUUAAAACAACCCAAUUUUCUCUCUAAAAAUUUUUUAUUAACCGCUCGAAGAUAUCAAUAAUUAGAGAGGAACAUUUUUUUAAUGUAAAAUCAUGAAAUAAACAAAAAAGUUACAUUGAACGCAGAUCUAGUGAUGAUUUGAAAUAUUGCUUUCUUACUCGCAGAGAAUUUCAUUAUUUCAAUUUUAACGAAAUCAACUGCACUGAGAAAAAAAUUCACUAAAUGGAAAUAAAUAUUUUUUUAAAUAGUACCAUGCAGAAGUUUUGUAAAAAAUAAAUAAUAUUUAUUUUAACAAAGAUAAUACUUUUUUAUAAUUUAGAAAAUGUUUAAUAUAUUAUCUUAUUUGAAAUAAAUAUUAUUUAUUUUUUUACAAAAAACUUCUGCGUGGUACUAUUUGAAAAGAUACUUAUUUCAAUUUGGUAAAUUUUUUUCUCCGUGUACGUAUCUUCGUAUGCGAACCGUUAGUUUCGUCCAACGUACGUUUGGAACGAAUAGAUUUCCCGAUUGACUGACUAACGCUGUAGAAAAGCGGACAGCGACCAGGGCAAGAGCCCAGACAAAAAGAUGACUCGCGGAUAACGGGCGAAGAACCGCGCUGGAAGAUAUAGAGCCCGAGCAAUCUCUUACGGUUGAGUUCGCACCACCCAGGGGGGGAGCCUCCCUCGAUCACUCCAAAUAAUCAUCGCGAGACACACGAGGCUCUCGCAUCAUCGCCUCCGUGAAAAUGAGAAAGUCGAGAGUAAAAAUCUGCGAGAGAGGGAGCUUAUGCUUUUGCACGUACACGCGCGCAUGCACGGAUCGCGAACGCGAACGAAAAAAAAAAAA